UGGGGAAUAUUGCACAAUGGGGGGAACCCUGAUGCAGCCAUGCCGCGUGUAUGAAGAAGGCCUUCGGGUUGUAAAGUACUUUCGGUAAUGAGGAAGGGGUAUAAUUUAAUAGAUUAUAUCAUUGACGUUAAUUACAGAAGAAGCACCGGCUAACUCCGUGCCAGCAGCCGCGGUAAUACGGGGGGUGCGAGCGUUAAUCGGAAUGACUGGGCGUAAAGGGCAUGUAGGCGGAUGAUUAAGUUAGGUGUGAAAGCCCCGGGCUCAACCUGGGAAUUGCACUUAAAACUGGUCGUCUGGAGUAUUGUAGAGGAAGGUAGAAUUCCAUGUGUAGCGGUGAAAUGCGUAGAGAUGUGGAGGAAUACCGGUGGCGAAGGCGGCCUUCUGGACAGAUACUGACGCUGAGAUGCGAAAGCGUGGGGAGCAAACA
Molecule: ribosomal RNA, 427 nt
Filed under: uncultured bacterium
Lineage: Bacteria
Description: bacterial SSU rRNA
Rfam family: Bacterial small subunit ribosomal RNA
Source: RNAcentral